Molecule: ribosomal RNA, 404 nt
Filed under: Verrucomicrobiota bacterium
Lineage: Bacteria; Pseudomonadati; Verrucomicrobiota
Description: Verrucomicrobia bacterium partial 16S ribosomal RNA
Rfam family: Bacterial small subunit ribosomal RNA
Source: RNAcentral
UGGGGAAUAUUGCACAAUGGGGGAAACCCUGAUGCAGCGACGCCGCGUGAGCGAAGAAGGCCUUCGGGUCGUAAAGCUCUUUUAUGAGGGAAGAUAAUGACGGUACCUCAAGAAAAAGCCCCGGCUAACUACGUGCCAGCAGCCGCGGUAAUACGUAGGGGGCUAGCGUUGUCCGGAAUCACUGGGCGUAAAGGGUUCGCAGGCGGAAUAACAAGUCAGAUGUGAAAGGCAUGGGCUCAACCCAUGUAAGCAUUUGAAACUGUAAUUCUUGAGAAGUGGAGAGGUAAGUGGAAUUCCUAGUGUAGCGGUGAAAUGCGUAGAUAUUAGGAGGAAUACCUGUGGCAAAGGCGACUUACUGGACACAAAUCUGACGCUGAGGAACGAAAGCGUGGGUAGCAAACAGG